Pteropus vampyrus (large flying fox) is the source of this 113-nucleotide small nuclear RNA. NCBI's taxonomy places the organism in Eukaryota, Metazoa, Chordata, Mammalia, Chiroptera, Pteropodidae. The record is from Ensembl.
GGUUUGGCAGCAUAUACUAAAAUUCAUAUACUAAAACUGGAAUGAUACAGAAAAGAUUAGUAUGGCGCCUGUGCAAGGAUGACAUGCACAUCUGUGAAGUGUUCCAUAUUUUU